This is a long non-coding RNA of Erinaceus europaeus (western European hedgehog), 590 nucleotides long. RefSeq lists it as uncharacterized. The transcript is spliced from 2 exons. The record is from RefSeq and is a predicted model, not a curated record. Lineage: Eukaryota; Metazoa; Chordata; Mammalia; Eulipotyphla; Erinaceidae.
CACAUGCACGUGACCGCCCCGGAAGGCGGGAGCCGGAGGCCGGGUGGGUCCAAAAUAGCCUGAAGACAGCUUUGCGCUUAUUCCCGGACUGCAUCUGCGUUGGAGAAGAGAGAGAUCUGGAUCUCAUAGGGGUGCGGGCGCAGAGGUCGAAAGGGAGAAUUCCUGGAGGACCCCCAAACCCAGAGCCUGGCCUGCCUGGAGCCAGCCGCAAGCCCAUUUUAUCCUCCAUCGCUCUUUAGAAAAAGUGUAGUUUGGUACUUUAAAAAUAGAUUUGACUUUCCCUUGGGUUUAAUAACUUUGCCAGUGCAACAAACAUUGAUCUUCCGAUUUAAAAUGAGAAACUGACGCUGAGACCUAAGUCACCAAAGUUACUAGUCUUAGAGUUGCAGAUCGAGCAAGUAAUGAUCAGAAGUGGAUACUGAGCUCAUUGAAAGGCCAAGUUUUCUCUGAAGGCUGUGCAGGAGAAUCCAUUUCCUUGCCUUCCCCAGAAUCCAUUUCCUUGCCUUCACCCCCAGCUUUUGGUCAUGCCCUUCUCUAUAUACACUUAUCAUAAUUUGGUAAGUGAAGAAAUAAAUGGGCCCUUAAUUAUG